CCAGACUCCUACGGGAGGCAGCAGUGGGGAAUAUUGGGCAAUGGGCGCAAGCCUGACCCAGCAAUGCCGCGUGAAGGAAGAAGGCCUUCGGGUUGUAAACUUCUUUUAUCAGGGACGAAGGAUGUGACGGUACCUGAUGAAUAAGCUUCGGCUAACUACGUGCCAGCAGCCGCGGUAAUACGUAGGGAGCAAGCGUUGUCCGGAAUCAUUGGGCGUAAAGAGUUCGUAGGUGGCACGUUAAGUCUGGUGUUAAAUGCAGAGGCUCAACCUCUGUUCGGCACUGGAUACUGGCGAGCUUGAAUGCGGUAGAGGUAAAGGGAAUUCCUGGUGUAGCGGUGAAAUGCGUAGAUAUCAGGAGGAACAUCGGUGGCGUAAGCGCUUUACUGGGCCGUAAUUGACACUGAGGAACGAAAGCCAGGGUAGCAAAUGGGAUUAGAUACCCGAGUAU
RNAcentral lists this ribosomal RNA (448 nucleotides) under uncultured bacterium. RNAcentral describes it as "partial 16S ribosomal RNA". It matches the Rfam family "Bacterial small subunit ribosomal RNA", at positions 331 to 793 of the family's 1533-position model. The record is from RNAcentral.